Molecule: ribosomal RNA, 540 nt
Filed under: uncultured eukaryote
Lineage: Eukaryota
Description: SSU rRNA
Rfam family: Eukaryotic small subunit ribosomal RNA
Source: RNAcentral
UGUAUUUAUUAGAUAAAAAACCAAUGCCCUUCGGGGCCUUUUGGUGAUUCAUGAUAACUUUACGGAUCGCAUAGCCUUGCGCUGGCGACGGUUCAUUCAAAUUUCUUCCCUAUCAACUUUCGAUGUUUGGGUAUUGGCCAAACAUGGUUGCAACGGGUAACGGAGGGUUAGGGCUCGACCCCGGAGAAGGAGCCUGAGAAACGGCUACCACAUCCAAGGAAGGCAGCAGGCGCGCAAAUUACCCAAUCCCGACACGGGGAGGUAGUGACAAUAAAUACUGAUACAGGGCUCUUUUGGGUCUUGUAAUUGGAAUGAGUACAAUUUAAACCUCUUAACGAGGAACAAUUGGAGGGCAAGUCUGGUGCCAGCAGCCGCGGUAAUUCCAGCUCCAAUAGCGUAUAUUAAAGUUGUUGCAGUUAAAAAGCUCGUAGUUGAAACUUGGGCCUGGCUGGCGGGUCCGCCUCACCGCGUGCACUCGUCCGGCCGGGCCUUCCUUCUGAAGAACCUCAUGCCCUUCACUGGGCGUGCUGGGGAACCAGG